Molecule: non-coding RNA, 109 nt
Organism: Canis lupus familiaris (dog)
Lineage: Eukaryota; Metazoa; Chordata; Mammalia; Carnivora; Canidae
Source: Rfam
GUCUACGGCCAUACCACCCUGAACGCGCCCGAUCUCGUCUGAUCUCGGAAGCUAAGCAGGGUCGGGCCUGGUUAGUACUUGGAUGGGAGGAAACCUCUACCCCUAACCC